This 523-nucleotide ribosomal RNA is filed under the name uncultured bacterium. RNAcentral describes it as "bacterial SSU rRNA". It matches the Rfam family "Bacterial small subunit ribosomal RNA", at positions 355 to 896 of the family's 1533-position model. The record is from RNAcentral.
UGGGGAAUAUUGGACAAUGGGGGCAACCCUGAUCCAGCAAUGCCGCGUGAGUGAUGAAGGCCUUAGGGUUGUAAAGCUCUUUUGCCAGGGACGAUGAUGACGGUACCUGGAGAAUAAGCCCCGGCUAACUUCGUGCCAGCAGCCGCGGUAAUACGAAGGGGGCGAGCGUUGUUCGGAAUUACUGGGCGUAAAGGGCGCGUAGGCGGCUUUUUAAGUUUGUUGUGAAAUCUCCCGGCUCAACUGGGAGGGUGCGGCGAAUACUGAGAAGCUAGAGUGUGGGAGAGGAAAGUGGAAUUCCUGGUGUAGCGGUGAAAUGCGUAGAUAUCAGGAGGAACACCGGUGGUGUAAACGGCUUUCUGGACCAUAACUGACGCUGAGGCACGAAAGCGUGGGUAGCAAACAGGAUUAGAUACCCUGGUAGUCCACGCCCUAAACGAUGCUCACUAGGUGUUGGGGAAGCGAUUCCUUGGUACCGUAGCUAACGCGUGAAGUGAGCCGCCUGGGGAGUACGGCCGCAAGGUUA